This 253-nucleotide ribosomal RNA is filed under the name uncultured bacterium. Its description in RNAcentral is "partial 16S ribosomal RNA". It matches the Rfam family "Bacterial small subunit ribosomal RNA", at positions 524 to 776 of the family's 1533-position model. The record is from RNAcentral.
UACAUAGGAGGCAAGCGUUAUCCGGAUUUAUUGGGCGUAAAGAGCGUGUAGGCGGCUUGGAAGGUCAGCUGUGAAAACUCGAGGCUCAACCUCGAGACGUCGGUUGAAACCACCUGGCUAGAGUCCGGAAGAGGAGAGUGGAAUUCCCGGUGUAGCGGUGAAAUGCGCAGAUAUCGGGAAGAACACCCGUGGCGAAGGCGGCUCUCUGGGACGGUACUGACGCUGAGACGCGAAAGCGUGGGGAGCGAACAGG